GACGAACGCUGGCGGCGUGCCUAACACAUGCAAGUUGAACGGGGUUGAUUCUUCGGAAUUAACUUAGUGGCGAACGGGUGAGUAACGCGUGAGCAACCUUUCCUCUACUGGGGAAUAACACCGGGAAACUGGUACUAAUACCGCAUGAGACCACAGGGCGGCAUCGCUUAGGGGUCAAAGAUUUAUUGGUAGAGGGUGGGCUCGCGUCUGAUUAGGCAGUUGGUGAGGUAACGGCCCACCAAGCCGACGAUCAGUAGCCGACCUGAGAGGGUGAUCGGCCACAUUGGGACUGAGACACGGCCCAA
This 305-nucleotide ribosomal RNA is filed under the name uncultured bacterium. RNAcentral describes it as "bacterial SSU rRNA". It matches the Rfam family "Bacterial small subunit ribosomal RNA", at positions 28 to 334 of the family's 1533-position model. The record is from RNAcentral.